UACGGAGGGUGCAAGCGUUAUCCGGAUUCACUGGGGUUAAAGGGUGCGUAGGUGGGCAGGUAAGUCAGUGGUGAAAUCUCCGGGCUUAACUCGGAAACCGCCAUUGAUACUAUCUGUCUUGAAUACCGUGGAGGUCAGCGGAAUAUGUCAUGUAGCGGUGAAAUGCUUAGAUAUGACAUAGAACACCAAUUGCGAAGGCAGCUGGCUACACGAAUAUUGACACUGAUGCACGAAAGCGUGGGGAUCAAACAGG
This 253-nucleotide ribosomal RNA is filed under the name uncultured bacterium. RNAcentral describes it as "partial 16S ribosomal RNA". It matches the Rfam family "Bacterial small subunit ribosomal RNA", at positions 524 to 776 of the family's 1533-position model. The record is from RNAcentral.